This 497-nucleotide ribosomal RNA is filed under the name uncultured bacterium. RNAcentral describes it as "partial 16S ribosomal RNA". It matches the Rfam family "Bacterial small subunit ribosomal RNA", at positions 28 to 507 of the family's 1533-position model. The record is from RNAcentral.
GACGAACGCUGGCGGCGUGCCUAAUACAUGCCAGUAGAACGCUGAAGCGAGGAGCUUGCUCUUCUUGGCUGAGUUGCGAACGGGUGAGUAACGCGUAGGUAACCUGCCUUGUAGCGGGGGAUAACUAUUGGAAACGAUAGCUAAUACCGCAUAACAAUGGAUGACACAUGUCAUUUAUUUGAAAGGGGCAAUUGCUCCACUACAAGAUGGACCUGCGGUGUAUUAGCUAGUAGGUGAGGUAAUGGCUCACCUAGGCGACGAUACAUAGCCGACCUGAGAGGGUGAUCGGCCACACUGGGACUGAGACACGGCCCAGACUCCUACGGGAGGCAGCAGGAGGGAAACUUCCGGAAUGGGGGCAACCCUGAACGAGCCACGCCGCGUGAGGGAAGAAGGGUUUCGGAUCGUAAAGAUCUGUUGUAAGUCAAGAACGGGUGUGAGAGUGGAAAGUUCACACUGUGACGGUAGCUUACCAGAAAGGGACGGCUAACUACGUG